This 301-nucleotide ribosomal RNA is filed under the name uncultured bacterium. RNAcentral's name for it is "bacterial SSU rRNA". It matches the Rfam family "Bacterial small subunit ribosomal RNA", at positions 28 to 334 of the family's 1533-position model. The record is from RNAcentral.
GACGAACGCUGGCGGCGUGCUUAACACAUGCAAGUCGAACGGACCCCAGCAAUGGGGUUAGUGGCGGACGGGUGAGUAACACGUGAGCAACCUGCCCUAUGCAACGGGAUAACACUGAGAAAUUAGUGCUAAUACGGUAUAAGACCACGCGAAGGCAUCUUCGAGGGGUAAAAGCGAAUAAGCGGCAUAGGAGGGGCUCGCGGCCCAUUAGAUAGUUGGUGAGGUAACGGCCCACCAAGUCGACGAUGGGUAGCCGACCUGAGAGGGUGAUCGGCCACAUUGGAACUGAGAUACGGUCCAA